GCCUUAGUAACUGCGAGUGAAGCGGCAAAAGCUCAAAUUUGAAAUCUGGCGUCUUCGGCGUCCGAAUUGUAAUUUGGAGAGACAUCUUCGGGGUAGGCGCUGUCCUAAGUUCCUUGGAACAGGACGUCACAGAGGGUGAGAAUCCCGUGUCUGGAUGGCUGCCCUACUCCAUGUGAAGUGUCUUCGACGAGUCGAGUUGUUUGGGAAUGCAGCUCAAAAUGGGAGGUAAAUUUCUUCUAAAGCUAAAUAUUGGCGAGAGACCGAUAGCGCACAAGUAGAGUGAUCGAAAGAUGAAAAGCACUUUGAAAAGAGAGUUAAAAAGUACGUGAAAUUGUUGAAAGGGAAGCGCUUGAGACCAGACUCGGUCAGUGGUGAUCAGCGGUGCUUCUGUACCGUGCACUUGCCAUUGACUGGGCCAGCAUCGGUUCGGACGGCGGGAUAAAGGCCUUAGGAAUGUGGCUCUCUUCGGGGAGUGUUAUAGCCUAGGGUGCAAUGCCGCCAGUCUGGACCGAGGACCGCGCUUCGGCUAGGAUGCUGGCGUAAUGGUCUUCAGCGACCCGUCUUGAAACACGGACCAAGGAGUCUAACAUCUAUGCGAGUGUUCGGGUGGAAAACCCUUGCGCGUAAUGAAAGUGAACGGAGGUGAGAACACUUCGGUGUGCAUCAUCGACCGAUCCUGAUGUCUUCGGAUGGAUUUGAGUAUGAGCAUAGCUGUUGGGACCCGAAAGAUGGUGAACUAUGCCUGAAUAGGGUGAAGCCAGAGGAAACUCUGGUGGAGGCUCGCAGCGGUUCUGACGUGCAAAUCGAUCGUCAAAUUUGGGUAUAGGGGCGAAAGACUAAUCGAACCAUCUAGUAGCUGGUUCCUGCCGAA
This 871-nucleotide ribosomal RNA is filed under the name Pseudombrophila ripensis. RNAcentral's name for it is "eukaryotic LSU rRNA". It matches the Rfam family "Eukaryotic large subunit ribosomal RNA", at positions 77 to 965 of the family's 3401-position model. The record is from RNAcentral. Lineage: Eukaryota; Fungi; Ascomycota; Pezizomycetes; Pezizales; Pyronemataceae.